RNAcentral lists this ribosomal RNA (225 nucleotides) under uncultured Acinetobacter sp. RNAcentral describes it as "partial 16S ribosomal RNA". It matches the Rfam family "Bacterial small subunit ribosomal RNA", at positions 568 to 792 of the family's 1533-position model. Lineage: Bacteria; Pseudomonadati; Pseudomonadota; Gammaproteobacteria; Moraxellales; Moraxellaceae. The record is from RNAcentral.
CGUGUAGGCGGAGUGGCAAGUCAGAUGUGAAAUCCCCGAGCUUAACUUGGGAAUUGCAUUCGAUACUGGUUGGCUAGAGUGUGGGAGAGGAUGGUAGAAUUCCAGGUGUAGCGGUGAAAUGCGUAGAGAUCUGGAGGAAUACCGAUGGCGAAGGCAGCCAUCUGGCCUAACACUGACGCUGAGGUGCGAAAGCAUGGGGAGCAAACAGGAUUAGAUACCCCAGUA